RNAcentral lists this ribosomal RNA (440 nucleotides) under uncultured bacterium. RNAcentral's name for it is "partial 16S ribosomal RNA". It matches the Rfam family "Bacterial small subunit ribosomal RNA", at positions 28 to 486 of the family's 1533-position model. The record is from RNAcentral.
GAUGAACGCUGGCGGCGUGCUUAACACAUGCAAGUCGAACGUGAGGGAAUAGCAAUAUUCUUGAAAGUGGCGCACGGGUGAGUAAUACGUAGGUAACCUGCCCUGGAGUGGGGGGAUAACAACUGGAAACGGUUGCUAAUACCGCAUGAGGCCGAGACACUGGGAAGUGUUUUGGCGAAAGCUCUGGUGCUUCAGGAGGGGCCUGCGGCCGAUUAGCUAGUUGGCGGGGUAAGAGCCCACCAAGGCAGUGAUCGGUAGCUGGUCUGAGAGGACGAUCAGCCACACGGGAACUGAGACACGGUCCCGACUCCGUACGGGGGGCAGCAGUGAGGAAUAUUGGGCAAUGGGCGGAAGCCUGACCCAGCAACGCCGCGUGGAGGAAGACGGCCUUCGGGUUGUAACUCCUUUACGGGUAGGAGGAAGGAGUGGUACCCGACGAA